RNAcentral lists this ribosomal RNA (532 nucleotides) under uncultured bacterium. RNAcentral describes it as "bacterial SSU rRNA". It matches the Rfam family "Bacterial small subunit ribosomal RNA", at positions 355 to 902 of the family's 1533-position model. The record is from RNAcentral.
UGGGGAAUCUUGGACAAUGGGCGCAAGCCUGAUCCAGCCAUGCCGCGUGAGCGAUGAAGGCCUUAGGGUUGUAAAGCUCUUUCACCGGUGAAGAUAAUGACGGUAGCCGGAGAAGAAGCCCCGGCUAACUCCGUGCCAGCAGCCGCGGUAAUACGGAGGGGGCUAGCGUUGUUCGGAAUUACUGGGCGUAAAGCGCACGUAGGCGGACCAGAAAGUUGGGGGUGAAAUCCCGGGGGCUCAACCCCGGAACUGCCUCCAAAACUAUUGGUCUAGAGUUCGAGAGAGGUGAGUGGAAUUCCAAGUGUAGAGGUGAAAUUCGUAGAUAUUUGGAGGAACACCAGUGGCGAAGGCGGCUCACUGGCUCGAUACUGACGCUGAGGUGCGAAAGUGUGGGGAGCAAAACAGGAUUAGAUACCCUGGUAGUCCACACCGUAAAACGAUGAAUGCCAGUCGUCGGGUAGCAUGCUAUUCGGUGACACACCUAACGGAUUAAGCAUUCCGCCUGGGGAGUACGGUCGCAAGAUUAAAACUC